UACCAGCACCCCGAGUGGUCGGGACGUUUAUUGGGCCUAAAGCAUCCGUAGCCGGUUCUACAAGUCUUCCGUUAAAUCCACCUGCUUAACAGAUGGGCUACGGAAGAUACUAUGGAGCUAGGAGGCGGGAGAGGCAAGCGGUACUCGAUGGGUAGGGGUAAAAUCCGUUGAUCCAUUGAAGACCACCAGUGGCGAAGGCGGCUUGCCAGAACGCGCUCGACGGUGAGGGAUGAAAGCUGGGGGGAGCAAACCGGG
RNAcentral lists this ribosomal RNA (255 nucleotides) under uncultured bacterium. RNAcentral describes it as "partial 16S ribosomal RNA". It matches the Rfam family "Archaeal small subunit ribosomal RNA", at positions 474 to 728 of the family's 1478-position model. The record is from RNAcentral.